AGGGAUGUAGCAAAAGCUACAGGUAACAAUCUGUGGGUCAGGGGCCAAGUUAGGGGACAAUGAGGGGAUGAGUUGGUGAUGAGAGUGCAGAGCAGAGGGGCUGGGCAGCCAGAGCUGUAGGUGGGACAUGGAACAGCAUAAGGCAACCAAGGGUUAAGGGUCAUGGAGGUGGAGGCAGGAGACCCUGUUCAGUACCCCCUGCUCACCAUCCAUCCAUCUUGCUGAGGUUUCAUUUGGGCUCUGCAAUGCAGGAAGAGACUGUAGUUUCCUUCUUGUUUCCCUGCAUGUUCAGGCUCUUUCCUCUCUGCAGGGUCACCUCGGCCAGUACAUGGUUCCUGGGCACUCACCUGGGACAGGGGCCAGCUUGGUGGCCAGCCAAGUAGCUGUGCAGUGCCCAGUCCCAGGGACAGCACCGAGGAAGGUGUGCCAGGAUCAGGGCCCCAGCACAGAGCACUGACCAUCCUACGUAUCACAGUGCUGCUUUCUCCUUCCCUGGGGGGUAGACUCCAGUUCUGGACGUGAGAGACAUUAGAAGGAUGUUGUGAAAUAAAACCUAUAGAAGUCCACCGAGAUUCAUCAAUAAAGGAAGGAAUCCACGGAGGAGAUUCAGUGUUACUGGGAGCCGUGGAAGUGAGGGAAGCCAAAAAGUGUCCUGCCACCUGCUCCCACUUGUGUUGCAGUUCAGUCAUCACCAGGGGUGGUGGAUUCCUGGGGCUGGUGCCUCCAGCAGUGGCAGGGUGGAGUGGUGUCUAACACACCCGUCAAAAGCUUCGGCGUGGGCACUUCAAUGUCCACCUUUCCUGUGUUUUUCCAUGUUCCUGAUCUAAUUGCACCAACAGAGCAGUCAAAAAUUAACCUCCUUCCACCUGGCCCAAACAGGCUCUUUUAGAAGAGUUCCUGGUGUCUGGCAGCAGCUUUGCCCUACCUCACACAGACAAGUGCUAAAAUAAAUAUCAUCCUCUUAAAAUGUA
Molecule: long non-coding RNA, 971 nt
Organism: Neopelma chrysocephalum (saffron-crested tyrant-manakin)
Lineage: Eukaryota; Metazoa; Chordata; Aves; Passeriformes; Pipridae
Exons: 2
Source: RefSeq, a predicted model, not a curated record